AACAGGAGGUUAAAGGUGCUGAUUCUCCAAGGAGGGAGAUUGCUAGUAAAGCGGCUGGAAUGGCGAACCCGAGCACAAGGAGAUGAGAAAUGAGGACAAAUUGCCACCUGUACGGAACAGGAGGUUAAAGGUGCUGAUUCUCCAAGGAGGGAGAUUGCUAGUAAAGCGGCUGGAAUGGCGAACCCGAGCACAAGGAGAUGAGAAAUGAGGACAAAUUGCAACCUGUACGGAACAGGAGGUUAAAGGUGCUGAUUCUCCAAGGAGGGAGAUUGCUAGUAAAGCGGCUGGAAUGGCGACCCCGAGCACAAGGAGAUGAGAAAUGAGGACAAAUUGCCACCUGUACGGAACAGGAGGUUAAAGGUGCUGAUUCUCCAAGGAGGGAGAUUGCUAGUAAAGCGGCUGGAAUGGCGAACCCGAGCACAAGGAGAUGAGAAAUGAGGACAAAUUACAACCUGUACGGAACAGGAGGUUAAAGGUGCUGAUUCUCCAAGGAGGGAGAUUGCUAGUAAAGCGGCUGGAAUGGCGAACCCGAGCACAAGGAGAUGAGAAAUGAGGACAAAUUGCCACCUGUACGGAACAGGAGGUUAAAGGUGCUGAUUCUCCAAGGAGGGAGAUUGCUAGUAAAGCGGCUGGAAUGGCGAACCCGAGCACAAGGAGAUGAGAAAUGAGGACAAAUUGCAACCUGUACGGAACAGGAGGUUAAAGGUGCUGAUUCUCCAAGGAGGGAGAUUGCUAGUAAAGCGGCUGGAAUGGCGACCCCGAGCACAAGGAGAUGAGAAAUGAGGACAAAUUGCCACCUGUACAGAACAGGAGGUUAAAGGUGCUGAUUCUCCAAGGAGGGAGAUUGCUAGUAAAGCGGCUGGAAUGGCGAACCCGAGCACAAGGAGAUGAGAAAUGAGGACAAAUUGCAACCUGUACGGAACAGGAGGUUAAAGGUGCUGAUUCUCCAAGGAGGGAGAUUGCUAGUAAAGCGGCUGGAAUGGCGACCCCGAGCACAAGGAGAUGAGAAAUGAGGACAAAUUGCCACCUGUACGGAACAGGAGGUUAAAGGUGCUGAUUCUCCAAGGAGGGAGAUUGCUAGUAAAGCGGCUGGAAUGGCGAACCCGAGCACAAGGAGAUGAGAAAUGAG
This is a long non-coding RNA of Balaenoptera acutorostrata (minke whale), 1129 nucleotides long. RefSeq lists it as uncharacterized. NCBI's taxonomy places the organism in Eukaryota, Metazoa, Chordata, Mammalia, Artiodactyla, Balaenopteridae. The record is from RefSeq and is a predicted model, not a curated record. The transcript is spliced from 10 exons.